UAGGGAAUCUUCCACAAUGGACGAAAGUCUGAUGGAGCAACGCCGCGUGAGUGAAGAAGGUUUUCGGAUCGUAAAGCUCUGUUGUUGGUGAAGAAGGAUAGAGGCAAUAACUGGUCUUUAUUUGACGGUAAUCAACCAGAAAGUCACGGCUAACCACGUGCCAGCAGCCGCGGUAAUACGUAGGUGGCAAGCGUUGUCCGGAUUUAUUGGGCGUAAAGCGAGCGCAGGCGGAAUGAUAAGUCUGAUGUGAAAGCCCACGGCUCAACCGUGGAACUGCAUCGGAAACUGUCAUUCUUGAGUGCAGAAGAGGAGAGUGGAACUCCAUGUGUAGCGGUGGAAUGCGUAGAUAUAUGGAAGAACACCAGUGGCGAAGGCGGCUCUCUGGUCUGCAACUGACGCUGAGGCUCGAAAAGCAUGGGUAGCGAACAGGAUUAGAUACCCUGGUAGUCCAUGCCGUAAACGAUGAGCGCUAGGUGUUGGGGACUUUCCGGUGCCUCAGUGCCGCAGCAAACGCAUUAAGCGCU
This 524-nucleotide ribosomal RNA is filed under the name uncultured bacterium. Its description in RNAcentral is "partial 16S ribosomal RNA". It matches the Rfam family "Bacterial small subunit ribosomal RNA", at positions 355 to 868 of the family's 1533-position model. The record is from RNAcentral.